UGGUUUUACACAAGUAAUUUUAGGGCCCUUUGUAGCUUGUUGUUCGGUGUGAGCCAAGGCUCCGUGUUGAAGGCCGUGUAUUGACCUAUAAUGGUUUACUUUUUUAAAUUGUUAUUUGGAUGGAGAGUUGUCUCAUUGGCACUCACACCACAUCUUCCUAUAUCUAUCUAUAAAUUGUAUCUGUUGUAUCCUUUAUCUCUAGUUCGAUAGGUUAUAUGCGUUCU
RNAcentral lists this long non-coding RNA (224 nucleotides) under Mytilus galloprovincialis (Mediterranean mussel). The record is from RNAcentral. Lineage: Eukaryota; Metazoa; Mollusca; Bivalvia; Mytilida; Mytilidae.